AACAGAAGCGGUAACGGGGGGUGGCGGCCACGGAGUCGCAAUGUGGAGGAUCUCGAAAUCGUUAACAAUCGCGGCAGGCGCGAGCGAGAUCCAUUGAUGUGCGAUCGCGCGUGUGAAUAUAACUGCCAAGGUGAAGUUUCCGUAUGAAACGGCAUCGUCCGGCCUGUUCCGCUUUCAUGGAAAAACACAAAGCCCUCGGGUUUUAAGUGAAAAUAUUGUUUUUUAAACACCGCUAAGGGAGUGAUGGAAAAUGUGAUUUGCGCUCUCUCUUCAAUUCGCAUCGAUCGGGAUUCAGGAGAACAUUUAUGCAAAAUUAAUAAAAGUAGCACCAUCUUGUUGCAAAUACCCUUUGAUCUGCAUUAAAACUCGACGUUACUUUGUAUACAAAUUUAAGUAUCAAUUCUUUAAACAUCGCGGGGAGAGUAAUUAAAAGCCACUUCGCAUCGAUAGGGAUUCAGGGAAGGAGACACUCUCCAAGAAUGAUGGUUAUGGGAAAAGGAGUGCUUGAACACGGACGAUGGUCAGGCCCCUGCGGUUCCAAUUACGAUUGAAAGGCGCUCCUGUUUGUUCGCCUCCUACAACUGCGGACUCUUCAGUGCCUCAUAGAACCGUACUCUAGCCCCAUGGCCACUUUUGAGUUCGGCGAGCACGUUUCCAUAGUGAAUACGCGAUUUUCGCGAUCGCAACGGCAACUUCCUCCGAGAGGUGGAUUUCUAUUCUGCUAUUUGGAUACAAUUAACGCGCGAUUCUCGCAUGCUGCGCACCGAGAUUACACAAAUUUCACAUCUCGCAGAACCUUUCAAGGCUAUCGAAUGUUUGUUAUUAAUCCCAAUUGUAAUUUCUUUUUUUUGUGGAUUCUUGAAAGUAUACGCCGGAUGAAAUGAGAAACGCAUGACUUUUGGAUCGUCAGAUUCAGUGUUCGCCUCUCCAUAAUUCAUUUUCUCGAUAUCGCGAAACGGGAUGACGCUGAGCACACCAGUUACUCGACGUUCUUGCUUUUGCGCAAAGUGCCGAGUAAUCAAAGGAACGAUUGUCGACACAAAGGUGCUUGAUUGGCUCGUUUAUGUUACGGUAAUGCCCAGGCUACCGGAUGACAUGGAAUCCCGUGAAGAAACCUAAGUGUCUCGCUCUUCUCUAGCGAGCUCUCACGAGAUCACGUAAAACGUAGUUAUCGGCAGCAUUAAGCGCCUUGAUUUAUUAGGUUUUAUUUCAGACAGUUAUAAAAUUGCAGAUAUUGAUUAAAAUGAAAAAUACCCUGUAAAUAAAAAAAUGUGUAUAAUUUACUGAAAGAAUGGUAUUGUGCUUUUAAGUUCAACAACAUUUUGAAAUCCUGAACUAAAAUUCAACCAAAACUGCCUCUUAUGUUCUUUUGGUGCAAUAAGUCGUU
Long non-coding RNA from Vollenhovia emeryi, 1387 nucleotides. RefSeq lists it as uncharacterized. Lineage: Eukaryota; Metazoa; Arthropoda; Insecta; Hymenoptera; Formicidae. The record is from RefSeq and is a predicted model, not a curated record. The transcript has 3 exons.